This 514-nucleotide ribosomal RNA is filed under the name uncultured bacterium. RNAcentral's name for it is "bacterial SSU rRNA". It matches the Rfam family "Bacterial small subunit ribosomal RNA", at positions 28 to 528 of the family's 1533-position model. The record is from RNAcentral.
GACGAACGCUGGCGGCGUGCUUAACACAUGCAAGUCGAACGGUGACGAGGAGCUUGCUCCUCCGAUCAGUGGCGAACGGGUGAGUAACACGUGAGUAACCUGCCCCAGACUCUGGGAUAACAGUUGGAAACAGCUGCUAAUACCGGAUACGAGACGGAGAGGCAUCUCUACCGUCUGGAAAGUUUUUUCGGCUGGGAUGGACUCGCGGCCUAUCAGCUUGUUGGUGAGGUAAUGGCUCACCAAGGCGACGACGGGUAGCCGGCCUGAGAGGGCGACCGGCCACACUGGGACUGAGACACGGCCCAGACUCCUACGGGAGGCAGCAGUGGGGAAUUUUGGACAAUGGGCGCAAGCCUGAUCCAGCCAUGCCGCGUGCAGGAUGAAGGCCUCGGUUGUAACUAGCUUUUGUACGGUAACGAAAAGACACUCUCUAAUACAGGGGUAGGAAUAGACGGUACGUAACGAAGUAAAGACACCGGCUAACUAACGUUGCCAGCGAGCCGCGGUAAACCGU